This 497-nucleotide ribosomal RNA is filed under the name Starmerella stellata. Its description in RNAcentral is "eukaryotic LSU rRNA". It matches the Rfam family "Eukaryotic large subunit ribosomal RNA", at positions 46 to 558 of the family's 3401-position model. The record is from RNAcentral. Lineage: Eukaryota; Fungi; Ascomycota; Dipodascomycetes; Dipodascales; Trichomonascaceae.
CUAAGCGGAGGAAAAGAAACCAACAGGGAUUGCCCUAGUAACGGCGAGUGAACAGGCAAGAGCUCAGAUUUGAAAGGCACUUUUGUGCCGUUGUAUUCUGAAGUUAGGGUCCUGAGAAACGAUGCUUAAGUCUUCUGGAAAGGAGCGCCAUGGAGGGUGAUAGCCCCGUCUAGCAUUGACCUCAUAUAGGAUCUUAACAUGGAGUCGAGUUGUUUGGGAAUGCAGCUCAAAUGGGUGGUAUGCUCCAUCUAAAGCUAAAUAUCUGCGAGAGACCGAUAGUAAACAAGUACUGUGAGGGAAAGAUGAAAAGAACUUUGAAAAGAGAGUGAAAAAGUACGUGAAAUUGUUGAAAUGGAAGGGUAGGCCGCUAACCAUGUAGAGCCGUGUUUGGGGGGAAGAUAAAUGCUGUAGAAUGUAGCUACCUCCGGAGUAUUAUAGAUGCAGUUCAUAUUCCCACCCGAGCGCGAGGAUCUCAGGUUCUACUAAAUGUGUUUCCC